RNAcentral lists this ribosomal RNA (384 nucleotides) under uncultured bacterium. RNAcentral describes it as "bacterial SSU rRNA". It matches the Rfam family "Bacterial small subunit ribosomal RNA", at positions 28 to 410 of the family's 1533-position model. The record is from RNAcentral.
AUUGAACGCUGGCGGCAUGCUUUACACAUGCAAGUCGAACGGCAGCACGGGUGCUUGCACCUGGUGGCGAGUGGCGAACGGGUGAGUAAUGCAUCGGAACGUGCCCAUGAGUGGGGGAUAGCCCGGCGAAAGCCGGAUUAAUACCGCAUACGCCCUUAGGGGGAAAGGCGGGGGAGUCUUCGGACCUCGCGCUAUUGGAGCGGCCGAUGUCGGAUUAGCUAGUAGGUGAGGUAAAGGCUCACCUAGGCGACGAUCCGUAGCUGGUCUGAGAGGAUGAUCAGCCACACUGGGACUGAGACACGGCCCAGACUCCUACGGGAGGCAGCAGUGGGGAAUUUUGGACAAUGGGCGCAAGCCUGAUCCAGCCAUGCCGCGUGAGUGAAG